UUCUGUGCUCAGCACAUUGCUAAGCCUUCUGCACGUUGUGCUGAGAGUUCUCCAUCUGCAGCUCCAGAUCCAUUUUCCACUCUGCUCUGGACCCGAGGAAGCUGACCUCAUGUGGAUGGCAUCCCCAGGAUCCUCUGACUUCUGCAACCUGCCUGGUACAUAAUAAAAUCUGAACAAAUAUUUGUUAAAUGAAUGAAUGAACAAACAAAGCACCCAUCAGCAGACCUGGGCUACUCAGCUUGGAAGCAGGGCACACCCAAACAGAAGACAAACAGGGAAGCUGAGAAGGAGAGACGAAGAGUGAGAAGCAGAGACGAUGACCAUCUGUCGCAGGUUGCAGAGACUGUCUCAGGUUCAGCACAGAGUGUCUUGAGUCUGGGAGUGUGUGUUCCACCUCAGUCAGAGCUGAAGCAACAGGCAAGCCAAUAAAGCCUGGGGGCGUGGAUGAAGGAAAGAAGACAUCACACAGUCUCCAACUGGUUUAGAGGAUAUUUCUCACUGCUCCCUAAAAAUGAGAAAUGUAACUUCUCAAAUCAACAAUGUGUUACGGGUGGAAGUCAGACAAAAGCUAGGGGUGCAUAAGAUGGAAAAGGUUUCAAAGCCAGUCACUCAAGUGACAAGACACAGUAAGAGCAGACAGGACUCUGCUCCUGCCCACCUCUCCCCGUUCUGUGACCACAAGUUUCUCCUGCUUCUGGGGGUGCCAUUGUGGGUUGAAUUGUGUCCUCCCCUCCCCCAAAUAUG
Molecule: non-coding RNA, 744 nt
Organism: Vicugna pacos (alpaca)
Lineage: Eukaryota; Metazoa; Chordata; Mammalia; Artiodactyla; Camelidae
Source: RefSeq, a predicted model, not a curated record